Molecule: ribosomal RNA, 343 nt
Filed under: Bacillus cereus
Lineage: Bacteria; Bacillati; Bacillota; Bacilli; Caryophanales; Bacillaceae
Description: partial 23S ribosomal RNA
Rfam family: Bacterial large subunit ribosomal RNA
Source: RNAcentral
CAGUACCGUGAGGGAAAGGUGAAAAGCACCCCGGAAGGGGAGUGAAAGAGAUCCUGAAACCGUGUGCCUACAAAUAGUCAGAGCCCGUUAAUGGGUGAUGGCGUGCCUUUUGUAGAAUGAACCGGCGAGUUACGAUCCCGUGCAAGGUUAAGCUGAAGAGGCGGAGCCGCAGCGAAAGCGAGUCUGAAUAGGGCGUUUAGUACGUGGUCGUAGACCCGAAACCAGGUGAUCUACCCAUGUCCAGGGUGAAGUUCAGGUAACACUGAAUGGAGGCCCGAACCCACGCACGUUGAAAAGUGCGGGGAUGAGGUGUGGGUAGCGGAGAAAUUCCAAUCGAACCUGG